RNAcentral lists this ribosomal RNA (279 nucleotides) under Triticum aestivum (bread wheat). RNAcentral describes it as "partial small subunit ribosomal RNA". The record is from RNAcentral. Lineage: Eukaryota; Viridiplantae; Streptophyta; Magnoliopsida; Poales; Poaceae.
AUGUCACAUUCCGUAAAUAUUUACGAUACAUUUAUAGGAUGCACUCAAUGUGUACGAGCUUGUCCAACAGAUGUAUUAGAAAUGAUACCCUGGGAUUGAUGUAAAGCCAAGGAAAUUGCUUCCGCGCCGAGAACCGAAGAUUGUGUAGGUUGUAAGAGAUGUGAAUCUGCCUGCCCAACAGAUUUUUUAAGUGUCUGCAUUUAUUUAGGGCCUGAAACAACACGUAGCAUGGCUCUAUCUUAUUUAUACGUUACAAAAAACUUCACUCGAAUGGUCUAA